RNAcentral lists this ribosomal RNA (497 nucleotides) under uncultured bacterium. RNAcentral describes it as "partial 16S ribosomal RNA". It matches the Rfam family "Bacterial small subunit ribosomal RNA", at positions 29 to 507 of the family's 1533-position model. The record is from RNAcentral.
AAUGAACGCUGGCGGCAGGCCUAACACAUGCAAGUCGAGCGAACGCACGAGAAGCUUUCUCCCCUGAGGGUAGCGACGGACGGACGAGUAAUUAGUGGAUAAGCUACCAAUAAGACUGGGAUAAUAACGGGGAACAAGAGCUACUAAUGGAUAAUAUUUCGAACCGCAUGGAGCAAAAGUGCAAGACGCUCUUGCUGUCACUAAUAGCUGGAUCCGCGCUGGAUUAGUUACUUGGUAAGGUAACGGCUUACCAAGGCUACGAUGCGUAGCCGACCUGAGAGGGUGAUCAGCCACACUGGAACUGAGACACGGUCCAGACUCCUACGGGAGGCAGCAGUGGGGAAUCUUCGGCAAUGGACGAAAGCCUGACGGAGCAACACCGCGUGAGUGAUGAAGGUCUUCGGGUCGUAAAGCUCUGUUGUUCGGAAAGAACAUAAGCGUAUGUAACCGUGCACAUCUUGACGGUACCUAAAGAAAAAGCCACGGCUAACUUCGUG